Molecule: long non-coding RNA, 321 nt
Organism: Carassius gibelio (silver crucian carp)
Lineage: Eukaryota; Metazoa; Chordata; Actinopteri; Cypriniformes; Cyprinidae
Exons: 5
Source: RefSeq, a predicted model, not a curated record
UUCUUCUCUCUAUAAUGAGUGUGUCACGACAGGUUUUCUUCUCUUCUCUCUAUAAUGAGUGUGUCACGACAGGUUUUCUUCUCUUCUCUCUAUAAUGAGUGUGUCACGACAGGUUUUCUUCUCUUCUCUCUAUAAUGAGUGUGUCACGACAGGUUUUCUUCUCUCUAUAAUGAGUGUGUUAUGACAGGUUUUCUUCUCUCUAUAAUGAGUGUGUUAUGACAGGUUUUCUUCUCUCUAUAAUGAGUGUGUCACGACCGGUUUUCUUCUCUCUAUAAUGAGUGUGUUAUGACAGGUUUUCUUCUCUCUAUAAUGAGUGUGUUA